ACAUCAGCAUUAAUGAGCAUGCGCUAGAUCUUUUCAACUCCCCAUCUUGUUCAGAGCAGACGAAAUCCCCUCCCUUCCCUCCCUUAAAUAUUAUGAAAUCGUCAUGGCUUAUAUACUGAUGAAGAAUACUGUGGACUUCGCUGUGUGAAUGUGAUAAUCCUGACUGUUUUGUGUUAGCGCAAUUUUGACAAGUAACCAUUUGCUGAGGGAUACUGUUGUCUCCAGGUCCCCCAGCUCUGAUAUGGUUUGUUUAAUAUUUGUGAAUGCUAUGCUGCCAAAAGCUUACAAGUGGUAAGAUCGGCGCAUAGGGCAUGAACAUGCGAGUGGCAUGUUAACUGUGAAUGUAAUUUGUAAUAAAAAGCCAUGACAGUUCCGCCAA
This is a long non-coding RNA of Saccostrea echinata, 379 nucleotides long. RefSeq lists it as uncharacterized. Lineage: Eukaryota; Metazoa; Mollusca; Bivalvia; Ostreida; Ostreidae. The transcript is spliced from 2 exons. The record is from RefSeq and is a predicted model, not a curated record.